CAGUCGCCACGGGAAUACGGAGGGAGCUAGCGUUGUUCGGAAUUACUGGGCGUAAAGCGCACGUAGGCGGCUUUGUAAGUUAGAGGUGAAAGCCUGGAGCUCAACUCCAGAAUUGCCUUUAAGACUGCAUCGCUUGAAUCCGGGAGGGGUGAGUGGAAUUCCGAGUGUAGAGGUGAAAUUCGUAGAUAUUCGGAAGAACACCAGUGGCGAAGGCGGCUUACUGGCUCAUACUGGACGCUGAGGUGCGAAAGCGUGGGGAGCAAACAGGAUUAGAUACCCCUGUAGUCCCUGUCUCUUAUAA
Molecule: ribosomal RNA, 301 nt
Filed under: uncultured bacterium
Lineage: Bacteria
Description: partial 16S ribosomal RNA
Rfam family: Bacterial small subunit ribosomal RNA
Source: RNAcentral